RNAcentral lists this non-coding RNA (24 nucleotides) under Arabidopsis thaliana (thale cress). Lineage: Eukaryota; Viridiplantae; Streptophyta; Magnoliopsida; Brassicales; Brassicaceae. The record is from RNAcentral.
AGGUAAUGGUGUGUUAGACAAACC